This 423-nucleotide ribosomal RNA is filed under the name uncultured bacterium. RNAcentral's name for it is "bacterial SSU rRNA". It matches the Rfam family "Bacterial small subunit ribosomal RNA", at positions 8 to 433 of the family's 1533-position model. The record is from RNAcentral.
AGAGUUUGAUCCUGGCUCAGAUUGAACGCUGGCGGCAUGCCUUACACAUGCAAGUCGAACGGCAGCACGGGAGCAAUCCUGGUGGCGAGUGGCGAACGGGUGAGUAAUGUAUCGGAACGUACCUUUCAGUGGGGGAUAACGUAGCGAAAGUUACGCUAAUACCGCAUAUUCUGUGAGCAGGAAAGCAGGGGAUCGCAAGACCUUGCGCUGAUUGAGCGGCCGAUAUCAGAUUAGCUAGUUGGUGAGGUAAAGGCUCACCAAGGCGACGAUCUGUAGCGGGUCUGAGAGGAUGAUCCGCCACACUGGAACUGAGACACGGUCCAGACUCCUACGGGAGGCAGCAGUGGGGAAUUUUGGACAAUGGGGGCAACCCUGAUCCAGCCAUGCCGCGUGAGUGAAGAAGGCCUUCGGGUUGUAAAGCUC